GUGAAUCAUCGAAUCUUUGAACGCAUAUUGCACUCUCUGGUAAUCCGGAGAGUAUGCCUGUUUGAGGGUAAUUAAAAAGAAUCUUUAACCAAUGGUUGUUGGUCAAAGGAAAUGAGCCAUAAGCGAGUAUAGCAAUAGCUGGAAAUAAAUGGUCAAGUCGCAGUUUAGUGUAGACGCGGAAGAAGAUUAUUUCGCGAAAUCUUCAUUAUGGGACAAUAAAGUU
This 223-nucleotide unclassified non-coding RNA is filed under the name Ambisporaceae sp. RNAcentral's name for it is "partial contains 5.8S ribosomal RNA and internal transcribed spacer 2". The stretch from base 1 to 71 matches the Rfam family "5.8S ribosomal RNA", at positions 84 to 154 of the family's 154-position model. Lineage: Eukaryota; Fungi; Glomeromycota; Glomeromycetes; Archaeosporales; Ambisporaceae. The record is from RNAcentral.